RNA transcript from Prunus mume (Japanese apricot), 2088 nucleotides. RefSeq lists it as uncharacterized. The record is from RefSeq and is a predicted model, not a curated record. NCBI's taxonomy places the organism in Eukaryota, Viridiplantae, Streptophyta, Magnoliopsida, Rosales, Rosaceae.
GUAUGCGUAGUGCACACCCAUGGUUUACCAUGAGAUUUAACAGUUAAUCCCCACCUCAACAAGCUAUUCUUGGGCAGAUGGCAACUUGGCACAGAAACCAUGCCAUAUUCGUUGCUUAUUAAGCUAAAUAUUUGGACCUUUUAAAUACCCACAAAAAAUAAUUUAUUCAUAAAAACAAUAAAACUAAAACCAACACAACAACAACAAGAAGAAUCACAGAGUUCAAACUUUUUCUGAUAACCAAUUCCUCUCCGAAUUGAAAAAGGUUUUAUAAAGCAUAUAGCAUCAUGAGAUUCAAAAGUGGAAGCAGCGUGGAAGUAUUGAUCAAAAAGGAGAUGCCUUCAGGCUCCUGGUGCUGUGCCAAGAUAAUCUGUGGUAACGGCCACAACUACAAUGUUAGAUAUGAUGGAUUUGAGGGUGCCUCUGAUAAGGCCGCUGUCGAAAGGGUACCCAGAAAUGCAAUUAGGCCUUGCCCUCCUCCACUGGAAGUGUCAGAAAAUUGGGUUCCUGGUGAUCUCGUUGAGGUUUUUGACAACUUUUCUUGGAAAAUGGCAACAAUUUCAAAGGUUUUAGGAAAGCAGUACUUUUUAGUCAGGAUACUUGGAUCCUCCCAAGAAUUUGAGGUCGGAAAAUUUGAAAUCCGAGUCAGACAGUUUUGGCAAGAUGACAAAUGGAUUGUGAUUGGAAAGGGUUUGAACAAUUAUGAGUAUGGAAAGCGUGGUGAAACUUUAAAGUACAACCAAAGUUCUUGUCUCAAAGCUCAGAAGAAUGAAACGCACGUUGCCUUCUCUCAUAAUCUGAAGAGAAGAUCGCCCUACUUGUAUUUCCAAGAUGAAGCAUAUGAUGGAUCUGCUGAGAAGUUUCGAGCUGUUGAAAGAGAGGGCAAGCGUCUCCGAGUAAUUUCUGCUAAUUUAUGCACACUUUCUGAACAGGUAGAUGUUGCGGUACCAAGACAUAUGCAGGGUGGAAAAGAAAUACAUGCUUCUCUUAACAACAGAGCAACUGUAUUUUCUGAUGUUGAUAUGGAAAGAAGGAAACCAAGUGGUGACGUUGGGUGUUUCUUUGCUGUUAACUUAAGGUUGAAUGAUGCUGAUAGUGUGACAUGCUCUGUUGGUAGUUGUAGUAUCGGUAGCAAUGAUUCCUAUAAGUCACCUCCUCCUGUUUCUGCUAGUUCUACUGAAGAUUUUGAUGAUCGGUCAUCUGAUGCUGAAUCUAUUUGUCAAUUGGGAUAUGAGGAAGGAAACUCUCUCCUUCCUGCAAAGGAAGAAUUGGCGGCUGAGAUCCAUAGGUUAGAGUUGCAUGCCUACCGUUGCACGAUAGGGGCAUUACAUGCGUCAGGACCUUUAAGUUGGGAACAAGAAGAAUUGGGCCGAACUAGGAGGCUUGUCGCCUUUCUUUCAAGUCUCCAAAGAUGAUCUUGGGGCUUGCCAGCUUUCUCUCAGUCUAGACGCGAGGGUAAUUAUUAUAGGACAGCUUCUGAUUCUCCUGUUCUCAUUAACAUAUCUGGUCUCUUCAUUCUUCCAUGUCAGGCCACCUGUGAGCCUUAGAUAACUGUUUUGCUGAAGGAUGUAAGACAAGAAUCUUGUGGCUGACACAGGAUGACCUGAGAUGUGGAUGCUUGUAAAGGAAUGAAUUUGUCAACUCUCUGGGUGUAAGCAGUAAGAAGAUAUCAAUGUCCUGAUUAUAGGCAUCUGGACUGUCCUACAGCUCUUGAAUUCUUUGUGAUGAUUGCAGUAUUUGUAGCAUAUCACAAACUUUUUGCUUGCUCCUGGUUGACACAGAUUGUCAGCCAUGUUCUUUUACUGCAAGUUUUGAACUGAGGUAGGCAGGAGAGGGCUAUACUGAACACAGAACACUGAAGGAAACAUAACUCAUUUCUCCGUUAAUACGACAUUAAACUCUCACUGAUCUCAAAUUAGUUUGUUUUGUCCUUAUUAAUUUUCCAUGGAAAAAUAGUACUGGAUUUGGAUGUCCUUUAGGUGGAAAUAUUAUUUGUUUCUGUCCAUCCUUGCAAGUCGUUUCAUUUCUCUAUCUCACUUGUGUUUGUGAGGCUUCAAAUUUUUAUCUAAGCAGGCCUGAGUUCGAUUU